This 332-nucleotide ribosomal RNA is filed under the name uncultured eukaryote. RNAcentral describes it as "partial 18S ribosomal RNA". It matches the Rfam family "Eukaryotic small subunit ribosomal RNA", at positions 1470 to 1796 of the family's 1831-position model. The record is from RNAcentral.
CCCUUAGAUGUCCUGGGCUGCACGCGCGCUACACUGGAAGUUACGGAUUGAGAUACUACCUUGUCCGAAAUGGUCCGGGUAAUCACCUAAAAGCUUGUCAUAAUUGGAAUGGAUUAUUGUAACUAGUAAUCCUGAACGAGGAAUUCCUAGUAAGUCCCAGUCAACAGCUGGUACUGAUUACGUCCCUGCCCUUUGUACACACCGCCCGUCGCUACUACUGAUUGGACGUUUAAGCAAGAUUUUUAAACACUGACAGUGUGUAGUUCACGCUAUACUACAGUGAGAAGAAGAAGAUCGAGCUUACUAGUCUAGAGGAAGUAAAAGUCGUAACA